CAGCAAGGCUGUUUCAUUGCUUUUCCCCUUUUCUCUCCUUUUCAGACCCGGAUUGUACCAGUAACCCUCAGUGAGAUCCUGUGCUGGGGCUUCACCACCCCCCAGGAACAGAAAAGGACAGGACGGGACCACAUCACCCUGCAGCCUUUGCGGAUAGACCGGCCACAAGCACAUCUCUGUGUUCUGGACCCAUCUUGGUUGUGAUCCCUACCCAGAAGAUCCCAUUUUUUCGGGUGGCAGGAACACACUUGCAGCUCCCUGAGCACCCUCAAACGGUUCU
RNAcentral lists this long non-coding RNA (280 nucleotides) under Melopsittacus undulatus (budgerigar). RNAcentral's name for it is "lncRNA (ENSMUNG00000019840.1)". The record is from RNAcentral. Lineage: Eukaryota; Metazoa; Chordata; Aves; Psittaciformes; Psittaculidae.